CGCACAUUGCGCCCCUUGGUAUUCCGGGGGGCAUGCCUGUUCGAGCGUCAUUACAACCCUCAAGCCUCGCUUGGUAUUGGGCUUCGCCACUAACCUGGCGGGCCUUAAAAUCAGUGGCGGUGCCUCCGAGGCCCUGAGCGCAGUAAAUAUCCUCGCUAUAGGGACCCGGUGGUUACUGGCCAGCAACCCCAACUUUCUAAGUUUGACCUCGGAUCAGGUAGGGAUACCCGCUGAACUUAA
RNAcentral lists this unclassified non-coding RNA (240 nucleotides) under Helotiales sp. RNAcentral's name for it is "partial contains 5.8S ribosomal RNA, internal transcribed spacer 2, and large subunit ribosomal RNA". Lineage: Eukaryota; Fungi; Ascomycota; Leotiomycetes; Helotiales. The record is from RNAcentral.